UCCCUGUUACCAGGGCAGUCUGACUAGAAAAAUUCAACUAGUCACAAGGGUUGCGCUCGUUGAUGGACUUAACCAAACAUCUCACGACACGAGCUGACGACGGCCAUGCAUCACCUGUCACUUGGCUCAAUAAAGCACUCUCUGCUUUCGCAGAAAUUCCAAGGAUGUCAAGCCUGGGUAAGGUUCUUCGUUUACCAUCGAAUUAAACAACACGCUCCACCGCUUGUGCGGGUCCCCGUCAAUUCCUUUAUGUUUUAGUCUUGCGACCGUACUCCACAGGCGGGAUGCUUAACGCGUUAGCUUCGCUACUACCGGGGUCGAUACCGAUAACAGCUAGCAUCCAUCGUUUACGGCGUGGACUAC
RNAcentral lists this unclassified non-coding RNA (363 nucleotides) under uncultured bacterium. Its description in RNAcentral is "contains 16S-23S intergenic spacer region". The record is from RNAcentral.